CUUUCAGAUGCAGAUGGAUAAAAUCCAUGGCAGAGCACCCCAUCCCAGGAAGUAAAGCCAUCUAGCAGCAGACAAGGCAAAGUGGUCAAGGCAAUCCAUUUGGAGUAUACGUGACUCUGUCACACACUGGCUGAUGGACUGUGAUUGUUGCUCUUUGGAGUCGUGUGGAAGUAUUGCAGGACUCGGUGAUGAAGCCUCUGCCUUUUCGAUUUAAAGGAGUCAUCCGGG
Passer montanus (Eurasian tree sparrow) is the source of this 228-nucleotide long non-coding RNA. RefSeq lists it as uncharacterized. The transcript is spliced from 3 exons. The record is from RefSeq and is a predicted model, not a curated record. NCBI's taxonomy places the organism in Eukaryota, Metazoa, Chordata, Aves, Passeriformes, Passeridae.